Molecule: transfer-messenger RNA, 401 nt
Filed under: uncultured Prevotella sp.
Lineage: Bacteria; Pseudomonadati; Bacteroidota; Bacteroidia; Bacteroidales; Prevotellaceae
Rfam family: transfer-messenger RNA
About the family: Bacterial tmRNA, also known as 10Sa RNA or SsrA, is named for its dual tRNA and mRNA-like properties.
Source: RNAcentral
GGGGUUGACUGGAUUUGACAGCGGGUUGAGAUGGUACGUAAGCACGCGGAGUGAAGACUGUAUACUCCUAAAACCUACCGGUCAAAAAAUUAAUUGGCAACAACAAGUAUGCUCUCGCUGCUUGAUCGAAGUACAGUAGAUCACUUGCUUAAUUCCGUCACCAGGUGAUGGAACGAGACGUCGCUCAGGACAGUGUGGACCCGAACGGUUCUGGUGUAGCGGCGCAGUCUUCUCGGGAAUAGCCGGCGGAACGCCCCGUGCUGACGGUGAAAAUUUAGGGGAUAAGGUUGCGGUUGGUGGUCCAGGUCUUGCCGUAGCACGAAAACCAAAGUCUGGAAUAAGCGUGUAGAAAGCGUAUGGUUUCCUCGUUUGGACGCGGGUUCGACUCCCGCCAGCUCCAC